CCUACGGGCGGCUGCAGUGGGGAAUAUUGCACAAUGGGGGAAACCCUGAUGCAGCGACGCAGCGUGAGUGAAGAAGUAUCUCGGUAUGUAAAGCUCUAUCUGCAGGGAAGAAAAUGACGGUACCUGACUAAGAAGCCCCGGCUAACUACGUGCCAGCAGCCGCGGUAAUACGUAGGGGGCAAGCGUUAUCCGGAUUUACUGGGUGUAAAGGGAGCGUAGGCGGCGCUGCAAGUCCGGAGUGAAAGUCCAUGGCUUAACCCGGGUACUGCACUGGAAACUGUGGAGCUUGAGUGCGGGAGGGGCAGGCGGAAUUCCUGGUGUAGCGGUGAAAUGCGUAGAUAUGAGGAGGAACACCGGUGGCGAAGGCAGCCUGCUGGACCGUAACUGACGUUGAGGCUCGAAAGCGUGGGGAGCAAACAGGAUUAGAUACCCUAGUAGUC
RNAcentral lists this ribosomal RNA (440 nucleotides) under uncultured bacterium. RNAcentral describes it as "partial 16S ribosomal RNA". It matches the Rfam family "Bacterial small subunit ribosomal RNA", at positions 338 to 795 of the family's 1533-position model. The record is from RNAcentral.